UGAGGAACAUGACCUUCGGCGGGGGAUAGCCGGCCCAACGGCCGGGUAAUACCGCGUACGACCUUCCGGGACAUCCCUGGAUGGUGAAAGCAGCAAUGCGCCGAUGGAGUGCCUCGCGGCCUAUCAGCUAGUUGGUGAGGUAACGGCUCACCAAGGCGACGACGGGUAGCUGGUCUGAGAGGAUGGCCAGCCACAUUGGGACUGAGACACGGCCCAGACUCCGUACGGGAGCAG
RNAcentral lists this ribosomal RNA (234 nucleotides) under uncultured bacterium. RNAcentral's name for it is "partial 16S ribosomal RNA". It matches the Rfam family "Bacterial small subunit ribosomal RNA", at positions 118 to 347 of the family's 1533-position model. The record is from RNAcentral.